AUCCUUUCGGCUACUUUUUAUUCUAGAGUCACAACAUGAAUGGACAGUCCAGCAAGGACACGGUUCUGCGUCUACGAAUGUGGAUAUUGCAGGAGCGCAGGAAAAUGAUCACGGGAAUACAUGUAGUUGGCGACAAACAAUGAUUGGACAGUCCAGCAAACAACAGCAUUGUUGGAUGCCAUUACAGAACACUUUGAUGAAUUGAAGUCAAGCGCCAACAAGGCCAAGGUGUGGAAGAAAAUAUGCACUGAGUUACAGAAACAUGUACCUCAUAUCUCCGUGCAUAAAUGUAAAGACAAAUGGAAAAACCUGAAGAAGUCUUACCGAAAUCACGUUCAGCAAACAAACAGAACUGGUGCUCAGCCGUCAAAAUGUAAGUUUGCAGACCAGAUGUUCGAAAUGAUGGGGGAUGACCCAAGUGUGGUGCCAGUAUACGUUGCAAGCUCAGAUGCAGCUGCAAUCGAGAGUACGCUAGAUGACAGUACGCAGUCCAGUGUUGUUGAGGCUGAUGAAGAAUUGAAUGAGCAAGGCCGAAAACGCAAAUCGGCGUCAAAUGAUAAUAUUAAAAAAACUAAGAAAAGAAAAGCUUCUGCUAGUUCAAACAUCAUCACAUAUAUGCAAGAGCAUGAUGAUAAGGUUCUUGCGCAGCUAGCCAAAAUGCACAAUAAAACGAUAGCAGUUAUGAAUAAAAUUACAGAUAAACUUUAAUCUGUAAAUUCAUUCAAUGGCUCUGUUAGAGAAGCAUAUAGAAGUAUGUAGUGUUGUUUCUUGAGCUGCUGUGUUUGUGAGUUUUCAUUUUGUAAAUUCUCAAUACAGUGAUCUAAAAAUGUUUUCAGCCUAGCUGGCUGAAUUUCUCUGUUUAUUGAAUAUUCAUAUAUUAUUUAUCUGUAUAUUUCGAUGGAGCAAUAAUUGCAACUGCAAUUGUAAUUUUAUUUUAUUUUGUUUUAUUGCAUACAAGCUUUAAUCUUUAAAUUCAUUCAAUGGCUCUGUUAGAGAAGCAUAUAGAAGUAUAUAGUGUUGUUUCUUGAUCUGCUGUGUUUGCGAGUUUUCAUUUCUAAAAUUUAAACCAGUAAUCUAAAAAUAUCUGCAACCUAGCUGGCUGAAUUUCUCUGUUUAUUGUAUAUUCAUAUAUUAUUUAUCUGUAUAUUUAGAUAGAGCAAUGAUUGCAGCUGCAAUUGUAAUGUUAUUUUAUUUUGAAUUAUUAAACAGAAAACACAUUCAAACACAUGAGUUCAUUGGGU
This 1241-nucleotide unclassified non-coding RNA is filed under the name Priapulus caudatus. RNAcentral describes it as "uncharacterized LOC106821050, transcript variant X3". Lineage: Eukaryota; Metazoa; Priapulida; Priapulimorpha; Priapulimorphida; Priapulidae. The record is from RNAcentral.